This 68-nucleotide transfer RNA is filed under the name Arcuatula senhousia (Asian date mussel). Its description in RNAcentral is "tRNA-Gln". Lineage: Eukaryota; Metazoa; Mollusca; Bivalvia; Mytilida; Mytilidae. The record is from RNAcentral.
UUUUAGGUAGUAUAUUAAGUACAUAAAGUUUUGAUCUUUAAAGAAUUGUUAGUAAGCAAUCUUAAAAA